Non-coding RNA from Microcebus murinus (gray mouse lemur), 733 nucleotides. Lineage: Eukaryota; Metazoa; Chordata; Mammalia; Primates; Cheirogaleidae. The record is from RefSeq and is a predicted model, not a curated record.
CAACUUUUUUCAACAAGAAAAAAUAUGAAAACCCAUGGACAAUCCCAAAUAUGUUGUCAAUGACAAGAAUUGGCUUGGCCCCAGUUCUGGGCUAUUUGAUUAUUGAAGAAGAUUUUAAUAUUGCACUAGGAGUUUUUGCUUUAGCUGGGCUAACUGAUUUGUUCCACUUACUUAUAUGAUAAUUUCAAGAGAUGUAAUGUUGAUUGCUGCUGUUUUUUAUGUCAGAUAGCGAACUCUUCCAACACCGCGAACACUUGCUAAGUAUUUCAACCCUUGCUAUGCUACUGCUAGGUUAAAACCAACAUUCAUCAGCAAGGUAAACACAGCAGUCCAGUUAAUCUUGGUGGCAGCUUCUUUGGCAGCUCCAGUUUUCAAUUAUUCUGACAGCAUUUAUCUUCAGAUGCUGUGGUGUUGUACAGCCCUCACCACAGCUGCAUCAGCUUAUAGUUAUUAUCAUUAUGGUCGGAAAACUAUUCAGGUGAUAAAGGGCUGAUGAAAGUCAUCCAUCACCAUUAGCAAGGAAACAGAAUACGUCAUCGGCAGCAGGGCCCGUGGAAAUCUACAGGAGUUUCCUAGUUUUGGUGUUCAGUUUGUAGAAGGACUUGUCAGAACAAACCAUGUCAUCAAAAUUUAAGUAAUGUACAUUGAAAAUACGCUUGAUCAUGUGAUCAUGGGCAUAUGCAGAAUUUUCAAUGUAUUUUUAAAUGCAAAUAAAACUACAAUUUAGAAUUUU